This 507-nucleotide ribosomal RNA is filed under the name uncultured Glomeromycotina. RNAcentral's name for it is "partial small subunit ribosomal RNA". It matches the Rfam family "Eukaryotic small subunit ribosomal RNA", at positions 591 to 1092 of the family's 1831-position model. Lineage: Eukaryota; Fungi; Glomeromycota. The record is from RNAcentral.
CCAAUAGCGUAUAUUAAAGUUGUUGCAGUUAAAAAGCUCGUAGUUGAAUUUCGGGAUUGGCGCAUCGGUCGUGCCUCACGGGGUAUGAACUGGUGCAGUCAAUUUCUCACCUUCUGGAGAACCGCGAUGUCCUUAAUUGGAUGCCGCGGGGAACCAGGACCUUUACUUUGAAAAAAUUAGAGUGUUUAAAGCAGGCAUUUUUGCUUGAAUACAUUAGCAUGGAAUAAUAAAAUAGGACGGCAUGGUUCUAUUUUGUUGGUUUCUAGGACCACCGUAAUGAUUAAUAGGGAUAGUUGGUGGCAUUAGUAUUAAAUUGUCAGAGGUGAAAUUCUUGGAUUUAUUGAAGACUAACUACUGCGAAAGCAUUUGCCAAGGAUGUUUUCAUUAAUCAAGAACGAAAGUUAGGGGAUCGAAGACGAUCAGAUACCGUCGUAGUCUUAACCAUAAACUAUGCCGACUAGGAAUCAGACGAUGUUAAUUUUUUAAUGACUCGUUUGGCACCUUACG